GAUGAAGAACGCAGCGAAAUGCGAUACUUGGUGUGAAUUGCAGAAUCCCGUGAACCAUCGAGUCUUUGAACGCAAGUUGCGCCCGAAGCCAUUAGGCCGAGGGCACGCCUGCCUGGGCGUCACACGUCGUUGCCCCCCCAUCUACUCCUUCGGGAUUGCGGGGGGCGGAUGAUGGCCUCCCGUGCGCCUCGUCGCGCGGUUGGCAUAAGUGCCAAGUCCUCGGCGACGCACGCCACGACAAUCGGUGGUUGCGAAACCUCGGUUGCCCGUCGUGUGCGGUCGUCGCGCAUCGAGGGCUCGAAAAAAUUGCCGGGCUCCGGCUCGGCUUUCAACGCGACCCCAGGUCAGGCGGGGUUACCCGCUGAAUUUAAGCAUAUCAAUAAGCGGAGGA
This 391-nucleotide unclassified non-coding RNA is filed under the name soil metagenome. RNAcentral's name for it is "partial contains 5.8S ribosomal RNA, internal transcribed spacer 2, and large subunit ribosomal RNA". The stretch from base 1 to 122 matches the Rfam family "5.8S ribosomal RNA", at positions 35 to 154 of the family's 154-position model. The record is from RNAcentral.